UACGUAGGGGGCAAGCGUUGUCCGGAUUUAUUGGGCGUAAAGCGCUCGCAGGUGGUUCGUUGCGUCGUGCGUGAAAGACCCCGGCUCAACUGGGGAGUGUCGUGCGAUACGGGCGGACUGGAGGCCAGUAGGGGGAUGCGGAAUUCCGGGUGUAGUGGUGGAAUGCGUAGAGAUCCGGAGGAACACCAGCGGCGAAGGCGGCAUCCUGGACCAACACUGACGCUGAGGAGCGAAAGCCAGGGGAGCAAACGGG
Molecule: ribosomal RNA, 253 nt
Filed under: uncultured bacterium
Lineage: Bacteria
Description: partial 16S ribosomal RNA
Rfam family: Bacterial small subunit ribosomal RNA
Source: RNAcentral